ACCCGCUGAACUUAAGCAUAUCAAUAAGCGGAGGAAAAGAAACUAACAAGGAUUCCCCUAGUAACUGCGAGUGAAGCGGGAAAAGCUCAAAUUUAAAAUCUGGCGGUCUUUGGCCGUCCGAGUUGUAAUCUAGAGAAGUAAUGCCCGUGCUGGACCGUGUAUAAGUCUCCUGGGAUGGGGCGUCAUAGAGGGUGAGAAUCCCGUCUUUGACACGGACUACCAGUGCAUUGUGGUAUGCUCUCAAAGAGUCGAGUUGUUUGGGAAUGCAGCUCAAAAUGGGUGGUAAAUUCCAUCUAAAGCUAAAUAUUGGCGAGAGACCGAUAGCGAACAAGUACCGUGAGGGAAAGAUGAAAAGAACUUUGGAAAGAGAGUUAAACAGUACGUGAAAUUGCUGAAAGGGAAACGCUUGAAGUCAGUCGCGUUGGCCGGGGAUCAGCCUUGCUUUUGCAUGGUGUACUUUCUGGUUGACGGGUCAGCAUCAAUUUUGACCGCUGGAAAAGGGCCUGGGGAAUGUGGCAGCUUCGGCUGUGUUAUAGCCUCUGGUCACAUACGGCGGUUGGGAUUGAGGAACUCAGCACGCCGCAAGGCCGGGUUUCGACCACGUUCGUGCUUAGGAUGCUGGCAUAAUGGCUUUAAGCGACCCGUCUUGAAACACGGA
Molecule: ribosomal RNA, 658 nt
Filed under: Agaricus punjabensis
Lineage: Eukaryota; Fungi; Basidiomycota; Agaricomycetes; Agaricales; Agaricaceae
Description: partial large subunit ribosomal RNA
Rfam family: Eukaryotic large subunit ribosomal RNA
Source: RNAcentral